AUUCUGGCUGGAAAGGAUUUGAUGGAAGCUGUUAUUAUAUUGUUACAACUGAGAAGAACUGGACAGAGGCCCGGGGCUUUUGUAAAUCAAUGAACAGUGACCUGGUUAUUAUCAAGAGUGAGAGGGAACAGAUAUUCCUUGAAAAUAUUACUGACAGAUCAUUCUUUUGGAUCGGCCUCACAAGGGAUAAGGAUGAUAAAAAUGUGUUGAGAUGGGUGGAUGGAACACUCCAUAAUUUAUCAGAUGGAUUCUGGGCCAAUAAUCAGCCAAAUAAUAAUUAUGGAAGUCAAGACUGUGUUCUACUGUGGC
Xenopus tropicalis (tropical clawed frog) is the source of this 309-nucleotide long non-coding RNA. RefSeq lists it as uncharacterized. The record is from RefSeq and is a predicted model, not a curated record. The transcript is spliced from 3 exons. Lineage: Eukaryota; Metazoa; Chordata; Amphibia; Anura; Pipidae.